Paramuricea clavata is the source of this 127-nucleotide non-coding RNA. The record is from the annotation of a GenBank genome assembly. NCBI's taxonomy places the organism in Eukaryota, Metazoa, Cnidaria, Anthozoa, Malacalcyonacea, Plexauridae.
UUUAUACGUCGAAUUUCGGUCGCGUCGAAUGCAAUUCAAACAAUAGAUAAUGAAGCUUAAGGAGGUUUAACAUCUCAUUAUCUAUUGUCUUAAUUGCAUUCGACGCAACCAAACUUCGACUUAUAAA